CCCUUGGACCCCGAGGACGUUUCUCCAGGGCCGCCCUGCGACUGGCUGGGCAGGGGGUUCCCCGCAGUGCGCAGCAGGGGCGCCCCACCCACAAUGCACCGGAGCAGCCUGGCUGGCGGGCGUGGCGGCCGGAGGCGCCUUCGAGAGAGGAGUACGGCAAGGGCAGCCAGGCCUGGCUCCUGAGGGCGGCCGCGACCUUCUUCGAGGGGACCUUACGCUUGCACCUGGCCCGGACUGCGAAAACGUCGGGGGUCCUGGGUCUCUAUGUACUCCAGGCUGGCCUCGAACUCACAGCGAUCCUCCUGCCUCAGCCUCCCAAAUGCUGGGAUUGCAGGCCACAACACCCAGCUCAGGACCCCAUCGUUUGUGAAGAUCGUGUUUUCUACCCCACCUCAAGAGGAGAAAUUAGGGGCUUCAAACCCCCUGGCUUCUUCAGAGAAUUGUAGGAAUCAGUGCCCUCUCA
Non-coding RNA from Heterocephalus glaber (naked mole-rat), 463 nucleotides. Lineage: Eukaryota; Metazoa; Chordata; Mammalia; Rodentia; Bathyergidae. The record is from RefSeq and is a predicted model, not a curated record.